RNAcentral lists this ribosomal RNA (253 nucleotides) under uncultured bacterium. RNAcentral's name for it is "partial 16S ribosomal RNA". It matches the Rfam family "Bacterial small subunit ribosomal RNA", at positions 524 to 776 of the family's 1533-position model. The record is from RNAcentral.
UACGUAGGGAGCAAGCGUUGUCCGGAAUCAUUGGGCGUAAAGCGCGCGUAGGUGGCUUCGUAAGUCCGUUGUGAAAGUCAAAGGCUCAACCUUUGAAAGCCGAUGGAUACUGCGGAGCUAGAGUACGGAAGAGGCGAGUGGAAUUCCUGGUGUAGCGGUGGAAUGCGCAGAUAUCAGGAGGAACACCAAUAGCGAAGGCAGCUCGCUGGGACGUUACUGACGCUGGGGAGCGAAAGCGUGGGGAGCAAACAGG